Molecule: long non-coding RNA, 387 nt
Filed under: Panax ginseng (ginseng)
Lineage: Eukaryota; Viridiplantae; Streptophyta; Magnoliopsida; Apiales; Araliaceae
Description: long non-coding RNA (PGIN_LNC002412)
Source: RNAcentral
GCAAUAUCAACAUAGAUUGAAGAACUUUCGAGGAUGUUGGACGUUUUCGUAGCCCAAAGGAGUCGAAUGAUGGCAGUUAUGUGUGACUAUUGUGCUGGUAAUCACCCGAGUAAUCAAUGUACCGUUAGUUUUAGGCCGGGACAACACGGUGGUGAAUACCUCAACGAUUAUACAUAUGCUAAUUAUCAUCAAGUUUGGGGGUAUCACCCGGAUUCGUUAUGGAGCUAUACUUAUGAAGACCAAUACUACGCUCCAAAUCUAACAUAUCCAUCAAAUUUCUCAAAUCCACCUCCAAUGCAACAAGAAGACAAUUCAGAGUUAAAGGAAUUCAUGUUAAGGAGUAUAACAGAAAAAGAAGAGAUGAUAAUGAGUCAGGAGUUAUCAAAC